GCUUGUUGGCGGGGUAACGGCCCACCAAGGCUACGAUCAGUAGGGGUUCUGAGAGGAAGGUCCCCCACAUUGGAACUGAGACACGGUCCAAACUCCUACGGGAGGCAGCAGUGAGGAAUAUUGGUCAAUGGACGAGAGUCUGAACCAGCCAAGUAGCGUGCAGGAUGACGGCCCUAUGGGUUGUAAACUGCUUUUAUAAGGGAAUAAAGUGAGCCUCGUGAGGCUUUUUGCAUGUACCUUAUGAAUAAGGACCGGCUAAUUCCGUGCCAGCAGCCGCGGUAAUACGGAAGGUCCGGGCGUUAUCCGGAUUUAUUGGGUUUAAAGGGAGCGUAGGCCGGAGAUUAAGCGUGUUGUGAAAUGUAGACGCUCAACGUCUGCACUGCAGCGCGAACUGGUUUCCUUGAGUACGCACAAAGUGGGCGGAAUUCGUGGUGUAGCGGUGAAAUGCUUAGAUAUCACGAAGAACUCCGAUUGCGAAGGCAGCUCACUGGAGCGCAACUGACGCUGAAGCUCGAAAGUGCGGGUAUCGAACAGGAUUAGAUACCCUGGUAGUCCGCACGGUAAACGAUGGAUGCCCGCUGUUGGUCUGAAUAGGUCAGCGGCCAAGCGAAAGCAUUAAGCAUCCCACCUGGGGAGUACGCCGGCAACGGUGAAACUCAAAGGAAUUGACGGGGGCCCGCACAAGCGGAGGAACAUGUGGUUUAAUUCGAUGAUACGCGAGGAACCUUACCCGGGCUUGAAUUGCAGAGGAAGGAUUUGGAGACAAUGACGCCCUUCGGGGCCUCUGUGAAGGUGCUGCAUGGUUGUCGUCAGCUCGUGCCGUGAGGUGUCGGCUUAAGUGCCAUAACGAGCGCAACCCCUCUCCUUAGUUGCCAUCAGGUUAAGCUGGGCACUCUGGGGACACUGCCACCGUAAGGUGUGAGGAAGGUGGGGAUGACGUCAAAUCAGCACGGCCCUUACGUCCGGGGCUACACACGUGUUACAAUGGCAGGUACAGAGAGACGGUUGUACGUAAGUACGAUCAAAUCCUUAAAGCCUGUCUCAGUUCGGACUGGGGUCUGCAACCCGACCCCACGAAGCUGGAUUCGCUAGUAAUCGCGCAUCAGCCAUGGCGCGGUGAAUACGUUCCCGGGCCUUGUACACACCGCCCGUCAAGCCAUGAAAGCCGGGGGCGCCUAAAGUCCGUGACCGUAGGGAGCGGCCUAGGGCGAAACUGGUAAUUGGGGCUAAGUCGUAACAAGGUA
This 1244-nucleotide ribosomal RNA is filed under the name metagenome. RNAcentral describes it as "bacterial SSU rRNA". It matches the Rfam family "Bacterial small subunit ribosomal RNA", at positions 244 to 1498 of the family's 1533-position model. The record is from RNAcentral.